UGGGGAAUCUUGCGCAAUGGGCGAAAGCCUGACGCAGCGACGCCGCGUGGGUGAUGAAGGCCUUCGGGUUGUAAAGCCCUGUGGGUAGGGACGAAGUUUCUUGGGUGAAGAGCCGAGGGGAUUGACGGUACCUAUUUAGCAAGCACCGGCUAACUCUGUGCCAGCAGCCGCGGUAAGACAGAGGGUGCAAACGUUGUUCGGAAUUACUGGGCGUAAAGCGCACGUAGGCGGUUUCUCACGUCGGAUGUGAAAGCCCUGGGCUCAACCUGGGAAGCGCAUACGAUACGGAGGAACUGGAGUCCCGGAGAGGAUGGUGGAACUCUCGGUGUAGAGGUGAAAUUCGUAGAUAUCGGGAAGAACAUCGGUGGCGAAGGCGGCCAUCUGGACGGUGACUGACGCU
RNAcentral lists this ribosomal RNA (400 nucleotides) under uncultured bacterium. Its description in RNAcentral is "bacterial SSU rRNA". It matches the Rfam family "Bacterial small subunit ribosomal RNA", at positions 355 to 747 of the family's 1533-position model. The record is from RNAcentral.